This 317-nucleotide ribosomal RNA is filed under the name uncultured eukaryote. RNAcentral's name for it is "partial large subunit ribosomal RNA". It matches the Rfam family "Eukaryotic large subunit ribosomal RNA", at positions 40 to 350 of the family's 3401-position model. The record is from RNAcentral.
AUAUCAAUAAGCGGAGGAAAAGAAACUAAAAAGGAUUCCCUUAGUAACAGCGAGUGAACCAAGAAGAGCUCAUCCCUGAAAUCCCCUUUGGUUUCCAAAGGGGAGUUGUGGGGUAUGGAAGCGUUGUCAGCGAGUGGCCCCGGUCAAAGUGCACUGGAAGGUGCCGGCGGAGGAGGGUGAGACCCCCGUUUCGGGCUGGGAGUCCGCCGCGUACGACACGUUUUCCGAGAGUCGGGUUGCUUUGUAGUGCAGCCUUAAUCGGGUGGUAAAUUCCAUCCAAAGCUAAAUACCUGUUGGAGACCGAUAGCGCACAAGUA